RNAcentral lists this long non-coding RNA (449 nucleotides) under Homo sapiens (human). RNAcentral's name for it is "LNC_000401". The record is from RNAcentral. Lineage: Eukaryota; Metazoa; Chordata; Mammalia; Primates; Hominidae.
GGUUCUGAUAGCCAGUUUUCCUCCAGACCCUCCUGGGACCCAGGGGGCAUAUUGCACAGUGACUGAGAACUCUUGUCCUAGAAAAUACGGUAGCUCUAUGACCCGACCAGAAGGGAAGAAAAGAUAACAUAGUAUUGUUUAAGUCCAGGCAUGAAUGCCCCUGAGUAAUAGAGGAGCCAGGGAUGCAGGUGUCUGGCUGGGGGAGACAGAGAGCUCUGAACUUGGCCUCUCUUCCUCCCCCAGGGCAAAUCCCGACCUCUCUGUUCACAGUUGCUAACCUUGCUUGCUCCCUCUCACAUCUUCCUGGGGUGCUAGCCAAACGUCUCCCACUUCUCCUUGGCUAGGUCUACCCCCUAACAGCUCCCCCUCCUAUAGGCAGACACUGGCUCACAGACUCAAGCACGCAACAGUUCUCUCCAAAGGCACCUGGGGAGGCCACUUCCAAGCAG